GUGAGGCCAUAGGUCCUUAGCCAGA
This 25-nucleotide non-coding RNA is filed under the name Cricetulus griseus (Chinese hamster). Lineage: Eukaryota; Metazoa; Chordata; Mammalia; Rodentia; Cricetidae. The record is from RNAcentral.